Molecule: small RNA, 152 nt
Filed under: Actinospica robiniae
Lineage: Bacteria; Bacillati; Actinomycetota; Actinomycetes; Catenulisporales; Actinospicaceae
Also listed under: 1 other name
Description: c-di-AMP sequence
Rfam family: c-di-AMP riboswitch aptamer (ydaO/yuaA leader)
About the family: This family represents a conserved RNA structure found upstream of the ydaO and yuaA genes in Bacillus subtilis and related genes in other bacteria. The ydaO/yuaA element is thought to act as a genetic "off" switch for the ydaO and yuaA genes in its native state. It is believed that the element may be triggered during osmotic shock leading to activation of ydaO, a predicted amino acid transporter gene, and members of the yuaA-yubG operon which code for KtrA and KtrB K+ transporters.
Source: RNAcentral
GCAGCGCCUCCGCCGAAUCCGUUGCGGAGCGUAGAACUCCGCGGAGCCGGGGACCCAUGUCCCCCGGGGUGAAUCCGUGCCCACGGCACGGUAGGGCGACCUCUUACGCCCGAACCCGUCAGCUAACCCGGCAGGCGGCCUGAAGAGGAAGA